This 374-nucleotide ribosomal RNA is filed under the name uncultured organism. RNAcentral's name for it is "partial 16S ribosomal RNA". It matches the Rfam family "Bacterial small subunit ribosomal RNA", at positions 527 to 896 of the family's 1533-position model. The record is from RNAcentral.
GGAAGGUGCAAGCGUUAAUCGGAAUUACUGGGCGUAAAGCGCGCGUAGGCGGUUAGAUAAGUCGGGUGUGAAAGCCCCGGGCUCAACCUGGGAACUGCAUUCGAUACUGUUUGACUAGAGUGUGAUAGAGGGAGGCGGAAUUCCGCAUGUAGCGGUGAAAUGCGUAGAGAUGCGGAGGAACACCAAUGGCGAAGGCAGCCUCCUGGAUUAACACUGACGCUGAGGUGCGAAAGCGUGGGGGAGCAAACAGGAUUAGAUACCCUGGUAGUCCACGCUGUAAACCGAUGUCAACUAGCCGUUGGGAGCAAUUUGGCUCUUGGUGGCGCAGCUAACGCGAUAAGUUGACCCGCCUGGGGAGUACGGUCGCAAGAUUA